UAGCUCAGUUGGUUAGAGCACCUGCUUUACACGCAGGGGGUCGUAGGUUCGAAUCCU
RNAcentral lists this transfer RNA (57 nucleotides) under Gammaproteobacteria bacterium TMED112. RNAcentral describes it as "tRNA-Val". It matches the Rfam family "tRNA", at positions 8 to 61 of the family's 71-position model. Rfam says of the family: Transfer RNA (tRNA) molecules are approximately 80 nucleotides in length. Their secondary structure includes four short double-helical elements and three loops (D, anti-codon, and T loops). The record is from RNAcentral. Lineage: Bacteria; Pseudomonadati; Pseudomonadota; Gammaproteobacteria.